RNAcentral lists this long non-coding RNA (736 nucleotides) under Helianthus annuus (common sunflower). RNAcentral describes it as "hypothetical non coding rna". Lineage: Eukaryota; Viridiplantae; Streptophyta; Magnoliopsida; Asterales; Asteraceae. The record is from RNAcentral.
GUGUGCGUGUGAUCGAGCAGGAGAAAAGGGGAAGGGGUGUAAACCCUAACCCACAUGAAAUCAUCAAAUUGGAAAAGGAUUUGAGGGUUAAUUGGAUGCAUGAACCAAGAUUUAUGAUCACUCAAGCGUUCUUGACACCAAGAUAGGAAUCCCAAAUUGACAUGGACUCAAGUAUGGAAAGCUAACGGGUCAAGCGGAGGUGAGGAAGCAAGCAUGAACACUAACACUUAAGAUAUGUAGGUGCGUAUGAUCAGACGUAUGAAUAUAUGAAUGCACGAAGUAGGAUUUAUCGUCUAUGAAAAGAAUGGGACAGGAAUGAGAACGUCAGACUCUUGUAGAAUUGAAGCCGAACCUUGAAGCCGAACUCGGAACAAAGGAAUCCGAGAGGAUAGUCGAAUGAAUCAAAGUUUAUGUUGUCGAAUGUUAUAUGAUUUUUAAUUUGCAUCAGAUUAUUGUUGUAUGACGUUGUCAAUGACUAAUGGUUAAGUUGUAUGUGUCGUCCACAGGUACUACACGGAUUUCUUCUGCUGCUAAGGAAGCGAAGCGGACGUAGAUCGAGUCAAGAGCAAGGAUUGUACGGAUAGAUCGGUCACAUAGUUGAAGUAUAUAAUGUCUAGAAAUCUAAAUUUUAGUAUGAAUGUUGUGAAUUCUUUUAUAGAACGUUUAACAUUUUUAGAAUUUGGAACCUUCGUGAAAGUAAUGUCGUUAAUAAGGAAAGAAAUUUUAAAGCUCUUUU